RNAcentral lists this ribosomal RNA (526 nucleotides) under Behningia sp. BYU IGCEP128. RNAcentral's name for it is "partial 16S ribosomal RNA". It matches the Rfam family "Bacterial large subunit ribosomal RNA", at positions 1798 to 2602 of the family's 2925-position model. Lineage: Eukaryota; Metazoa; Arthropoda; Insecta; Ephemeroptera; Behningiidae. The record is from RNAcentral.
GCCUGUUUAUCAAAAACAUCGCCUUUUGAAUGCAUAAAAGGUCUGGUCUGCCCACUGAAAGUUUAAAGGGCCGCGGUAUAUUGACUGUGCAAAGGUAGCAUAAUCAUUAGUCUUUUAAUUAAAGGCUGGAAUGAAUGGUUGGACGAAGUGUAAGCUGUCUCUUUGAAAUUUUAUUGAAUUUUACUUUUAAGUGAAAAGGCUUAAAUUAUAUUAAAAGACGAGAAGACCCUAUAGAGCUUGAUAAAUUAUUGUAGUUAUAAUUAGAAGGAAGUUUAAUAGAAUAUAAUAGUUUAUUUUGUUGGGGUGACAUGAAAAUAUAAAAACUUUUUAAGUAAAAUACAUAGAUUAAUGAAUACUAGAUCCAAAAUUUUUGAUUUUAAGAUUAAGUUACCUUAGGGAUAACAGCGUAAUCUUUUUUGAGAGUUCUAAUCGACAAAAAGGGUUGCGACCUCGAUGUUGGACUAAGAGAAAUUUUGGGUGUAGCCGUUUAAAAAUUAAGUCUGUUCGACUUUUGAAAUCUUACAUG